This 765-nucleotide ribosomal RNA is filed under the name uncultured Glomus. RNAcentral describes it as "SSU rRNA". It matches the Rfam family "Eukaryotic small subunit ribosomal RNA", at positions 342 to 1108 of the family's 1831-position model. The record is from RNAcentral. Lineage: Eukaryota; Fungi; Glomeromycota; Glomeromycetes; Glomerales; Glomeraceae.
UACCAUGGUGGUAACGGCUAACGGGGUGUUAGGGCACGACACCGGAGAGGGAGCCUGAGAAACGGCUACCACAUCCAAGGAUGGCAGCAGGCGCGCAAAUUACCCAAUCCCGACACGGGGAGGUAGUGACAAUAAAUAACAAUACGGGGUUCUUUAGGAUCUCGUAAUUGGAAUGAGUACAAUUUAAAUCUCUUAACGAGGAACAAUUGGAGGGCAAGUCUGGUGCCAGCAGCCGCGGUAAUUCCAGCUCCAAUAGCGUAUAUUAAAGUUGUUGCAGUUAAAAAGCUCGUAGUUGAAUUUCGGGGUCAGUAGGUCGGUCGUGCCACUGGUAUGAACUGGUUUUACUGAUUCCUCCCUCUUGAAGAACUGUAAUGCCAUUAAUUUGGUGUUGCAGGGAAUCAGGACUGUUACUUUGAAAAAAUUAGAGUGUUUAAAGCAGGCUUUAGCUUGAAUACAUUAGCAUGGAAUAAUGAAAUAGGACGUUUGAUCCUAUUUUGUUGGUUUCUAGGAUUGACGUAAUGAUUAAUAGGGAUAGUUGGGGGCAUUAGUAUUCAAUUGUCAGAGGUGAAAUUCUUGGAUUUAUUGAAGACUAACUACUGCGAAAGCAUUUGCCAAGGAUGUUUUCAUUAAUCAAGAACGAAAGUUAGGGGAUCGAAGACGAUCAGAUACCGUCGUAGUCUUAACCAUAAACUAUGCCGACUAGGGAUCGGAUGAUGUUAAUUUUUUAAUGACUCAUUCGGCGCCUUACGGGAAACCAAAGUGUUU